GACGAACGCUGGCGGCGUGCUUAACACAUGCGAGUCGAACGCGCCUGUCCUCUGGGUUUCUGGGGGGUGGGUGAGUGGCGAACGGGUGAGUAACACGUGAGUAACCUGCCCAUUUCUUCGGGAUAACGGUGGGAAAGGGCUGCUAAUACCGGGUAUUCACUAGUCUCCGCAUGGGGUCUGGUGGAAAGGGUUUUUUCUGGUGGGGGAUGGGGUCGCGGCGUAUCAGCUUGUUGGUGGCGUGAUGGCGCACCAAGGCUUCGACGGGCUGCCGGCGUGAGAGGCUACCCGGUGACAUGGGGACGGAGAUACGGCCCAGGCUCCGAAGGGGGGGAGCAGUGGGGAAUAUGGCAGAAUGGGCGCAGGCCUGAUGCAGCGAGGCCGCGGGAGGGUUGGGGGCCUUCGGGUUGUGAUCCUCUUGCGCCCGUGGUCAAGCCGCGACGUGGGUCGUGGUGAGGGUAGUGGGUAAAGAAGCGCCGGCUAACUACGUG
RNAcentral lists this ribosomal RNA (488 nucleotides) under uncultured bacterium. Its description in RNAcentral is "partial 16S ribosomal RNA". It matches the Rfam family "Bacterial small subunit ribosomal RNA", at positions 28 to 507 of the family's 1533-position model. The record is from RNAcentral.